This 788-nucleotide long non-coding RNA is filed under the name Ananas comosus (pineapple). RNAcentral describes it as "long non-coding RNA (ACOM_LNC014876)". Lineage: Eukaryota; Viridiplantae; Streptophyta; Magnoliopsida; Poales; Bromeliaceae. The record is from RNAcentral.
ACGUAAUUUGUAUUUAAAACGUAGUAAAAACAUGAUAACAAACUUAAAUGGUUCAUUUUGAAAAAUAAUAUUUAGACAGUUCUUUUUAAAACUUAAAACGCUCAAGCUGCCUUUGUGAUUCUUAAUUAGCUCAAAAUUUGUUGCAGAAUCAAUUAAUUUCAAUUUGAGUGAGUGAUGGAAAGUUUAAAUUGAGCCUCUUUUUUUUCAUUUAUCCAGCCCUCUGUCACGAACUUAAGCAAAUUUGCUUGCACUACUAGAAAAUUAGUCAUUAGUAGCAUUUAUUUAUAUUGCACUACUAGAAAAUUAGUCAUUAGUAGCAUUUAUCCAGCCCUCUGUCAUUUUUUUAUAAAAUGCUGGAAACUUCAGCUGCAUUCACUAAUUUAUGUUGCUACUUUAUUCUAUUUUGCAACAAUAAAAGUAAAUUGCUGCUAAAUUAUUAAAUCUAGCGGCACUUAUCAAGUAAUGCUGUUAAAUAUAUUUAUUAGCGUUAUUUAAAUAAAUGUUGCAGAGUAAAUGCCGCUAAAUCCUGAAUUUGUAGUAGUGUUGUCAAGCCCGUGCGGCACUCACCUUCUUUUGUAAAAGGAGCAAGCCUAUCUCUAAUAUGGACCUACUAGUACUACAACUAAGUACAAGGGAGAGAGAGUUUGGAGGGAUGUAAUAUCUAUCUAUAUCUAUACAAUACAUUAUUUGACACUCCUAAGAAUGCCACGUGGCGCCCUCUUAUUACGUAUUCUAUUACUUGAGAGUAGUUGAGUACAUUUGACUUAUUCUGAGAAGGUGGAGGCCAC